Molecule: ribosomal RNA, 904 nt
Filed under: Escherichia coli
Lineage: Bacteria; Pseudomonadati; Pseudomonadota; Gammaproteobacteria; Enterobacterales; Enterobacteriaceae
Description: partial 23S ribosomal RNA
Rfam family: Bacterial large subunit ribosomal RNA
Source: RNAcentral
UGUGUGUUAGUGGAAGCGUCUGGAAAGGCGCGCGAUACAGGGUGACAGCCCCGUACACAAAAAUGCACAUGCUGUGAGCUCGAUGAGUAGGGCGGGACACGUGGUAUCCUGUCUGAAUAUGGGGGGACCAUCCUCCAAGGCUAAAUACUCCUGACUGACCGAUAGUGAACCAGUACCGUGAGGGAAAGGCGAAAAGAACCCCGGCGAGGGGAGUGAAAAAGAACCUGAAACCGUGUACGUACAAGCAGUGGGAGCACGCUUAGGCGUGUGACUGCGUACCUUUUGUAUAAUGGGUCAGCGACUUAUAUUCUGUAGCAAGGUUAACCGAAUAGGGGAGCCGAAGGGAAACCGAGUCUUAACUGGGCGUUAAGUUGCAGGGUAUAGACCCGAAACCCGGUGAUCUAGCCAUGGGCAGGUUGAAGGUUGGGUAACACUAACUGGAGGACCGAACCGACUAAUGUUGAAAAAUUAGCGGAUGACUUGUGGCUGGGGGUGAAAGGCCAAUCAAACCGGGAGAUAGCUGGUUCUCCCCGAAAGCUAUUUAGGUAGCGCCUCGUGAACUCAUCUCCGGGGGUAGAGCACUGUUUCGGCAAGGGGGUCAUCCCGACUUACCAACCCGAUGCAAACUGCGAAUACCGGAGAAUGUUAUCACGGGAGACACACGGCGGGUGCUAACGUCCGUCGUGAAGAGGGAAACAACCCAGACCGCCAGCUAAGGUCCCAAAGUCAUGGUUAAGUGGGAAACGAUGUGGGAAGGCCCAGACAGCCAGGAUGUUGGCUUAGAAGCAGCCAUCAUUUAAAGAAAGCGUAAUAGCUCACUGGUCGAGUCGGCCUGCGCGGAAGAUGUAACGGGGCUAAACCAUGCACCGAAGCUGCGGCAGCGACGCUUAUGCGUUGUUGGGUA